UUAACUCAUAUUUGUAUGGAAUGGGAUAAUUUGCUUAUGUUUGCCGCUAGGGGCGCUGUUCCAACUUCAUACAAAAUUGGGCUA
RNAcentral lists this microRNA precursor (84 nucleotides) under Bombyx mori (domestic silkworm). RNAcentral describes it as "mir-2807 microRNA precursor family". It matches the Rfam family "mir-2807 microRNA precursor family". The record is from Rfam by way of RNAcentral. Lineage: Eukaryota; Metazoa; Arthropoda; Insecta; Lepidoptera; Bombycidae.